GUCCACUUCAGUUGACAAAAUUCGUUCCUUUGGAAUACCCUGCCACGUCAUCAAACACAGACGACGCUUGAGUCGCGCUGAUCACGGGGUUCAACCUCCGAAGGCAGCAUUUUCCUGGUUUCAGACGCAGCCGUGUCAGUACUCUGCUAGUUCGCAAUGACUGAUUGGAAUCUACCUUAAAAUGACUGAAUACCAUGUGAAGUUCACUUCGGAGGACCCUAAUGGUCGACUGGUACACACCUACAGUGUUUUCUAACAUAUCCUGAACAGGCUUGCUGAAUUAACGGCAAACACAAGGGGCAACAUUGUAGCAGUUUACCUGAUAUUUGCAUUAAAAAGCCACGUUUAUGUUUUAGCUCUCUAUCACUAAAAUAUGACAUCGACAUACAAUGAAAAAAUUAAUUAUUUUGUGGUGAAGUAAACAUAGCAUCAAAGAUUUAGUACUUUCUACACUGAAUAAGUCUGGUUAAGCAUGAACCUGAAAAUAUUAAUUAAAUUCUACAUUUGUACUCAAUUCAAACAUGUGAAAAUGAAUGCUCUAGUUUAUAAGUAAAUAGUAUUUAUGACUGCUUGUUAUUAUCUUUACAGUGUAUCAUCAUGUAUCAAUCCUAAAGUAGAAAACUUGGUCAUAUUUAUUCACUAAUUAGGGGCCAAGCACUGAAAGUUCUUAGGCACCUAUUGUAAUCGUUAGUGUUCUUUUUGUUAUUAGGGUCCAAGCACUGAAAGUGCGUAGGCACCUAUUGUAAUCGUUAGUGUUCUUUUUAUUCUUCUUCUUCUUCUGCCAUUGAGUCUAUGGCUUCCCAUAGAACCUUAUGUGGCAAAGUUGUGAAAUUUGGCACACAAAUAGAGGACAGUCUGAACAUUAACUGGAGCAAAUUUGGAGUCUCUAACUCAAACCCUCUAGCGCAUCCAACUGGCCAAAUUUUCACACGUUUAUGCUAAUAACUUUUGAACCGUAAGCGCUAGAAUCAAAAUUCCUUUUUCCUCUGAUUCCUUAACUCGAGACGAAUCGACUCCUAUGUCGUCAUUUUGCGUCUUGAAAAUUUUUCGAAAAACAUAUUUUUUCUAACUCCUCCUAGACCGUUUGUUCAAUUUGCACAAAAAUUUAAUCAGAUCAUCUUCAGACCAGGCUGAUAAAAAGUUUUGGAAUUCAAGUUGAUUAGUCAAACUGUUCUUGAAUAACCCGCGAACAAAUUCGACGUAGAGCACGCCAAAUUGGAUGUGAGGCUAUAUCUCCGCAACGCUUUUGCUUAUUCACACCAAACUUGGUGUGUGUUAUGACAACCAUGACCUGAGGGUACUUGCACAGUUUCGGCACAGCACUACCUAGUGGUCACGAGAUAUGAAAAAUGCAUAUUUUUGCUUAUAACUUCUGAACGGUUUCACCUGGUCUUGUUAGAUUCUGUGUGGGAUGCCGAGUCGAAUGAUACAAAAUUUUCCUAUGUCGGCCAUUUUGGGUGUCGCCCAUUUUGAAUUUUGUUGUAAAAUGCUUUAUUUUUCAAACACAUUGACAUAUCCUUAUGAAACUCGUUAUGUGUCAUUGGCACAAUGCCCUGAAGGUACUCAAAAUGUUUUGGGACAGCGCCACUUUCUGGUCAAAAGUUAUACCAAAUUUUCUUAAAAUGCUAAUAACUUUUGAUUACUUUGUGCUAUUGUCAUGAGAUUAGUCUUGGUAGAUUCCAUGGGUCAUGCCGAGAACGUGGAUACCAAUUAUGCCAUGAUCAAUCGAACUUCCUGUCCGCCAUUUUGAAAUAUUUUUAAAAACCUACUUUUUCUAACUCCUUGAGCGUUUGUCAGAUUUUAACCAAAAUCGAAUCAGACCAUCUUCAGACCAUGCCAACAAAAAGUUAUGGAUUUCAUGUUGAUAAACCAAACCAUUUUCGUUUAACACAACAGUGAAUUUGAUGGCACGGUGCCAGAAUGGUUUUCAGGCUCUAUCUCGGCAACGCUUUGGCAUAUUGACAUGAAACUUUGUAUGUGUCAUCAUGACAGCACCUUGACUACACCAUAUCAAUUUGGUGACAGUGCCACCUGUUAGUCAAUAAUAAGUAAUAUGCUUUUAUGUCCCAUUGCAAUUGAUAAUAUUCAUGGUUUUUCAAACAUUUUGCCUAAAAUCAUGACCAGAUUGCUUACUUAUUUUUUUUGCCAUUGUUGUGCCUAAUAAUGGUUGAUGUGCUUGGCCCCUUAAUUGCUGCUUUCAACUAUAUUUAGAGUUAGUUUCACUGAAGAAAAUAAGUACAUUUUACUCAAAAUUUCGAGGCUGGUAUUCCUAGCAUGCACAGGGCUUGAAUAAUUAAUGAGCUUGCAUUGUUUCACUGUUUUAUUGUUGAAUUUUUUAUGUUUGAUAACUUGUUUUGUGAAAUGUGCAGCUAAUUUUCAACUCAAAAUGACCUGUUCAUGAUUUAAAUAAAUAAAUACAAUUAUC
Molecule: long non-coding RNA, 2425 nt
Organism: Myxocyprinus asiaticus (Chinese sucker)
Lineage: Eukaryota; Metazoa; Chordata; Actinopteri; Cypriniformes; Catostomidae
Exons: 3
Source: RefSeq, a predicted model, not a curated record